CUACGGAGGGUGCAAGCGUUACUCGGAAUCACUGGGCGUAAAGGACGCGUAGGCGGUUUCAUAAGUCAGGUGUGAAAGCCCACGGCUCAACCGUGGAACUGCACUUGAAACUGUGAUGCUAGAGUCUGGGAGAGGCAGAUGGAAUUGGUGGUGUAGGGGUAAAAUCCGUAGAGAUCACCAGGAAUACCGAUGGCGAAGGCGAUCUGCUGGAACAGUACUGACGCUGAGGCGUGAAAGCGUGGGGAGCAAACAGGAUUAGAAACCCUUGUAGUCC
This 274-nucleotide ribosomal RNA is filed under the name uncultured bacterium. RNAcentral's name for it is "partial 16S ribosomal RNA". It matches the Rfam family "Bacterial small subunit ribosomal RNA", at positions 523 to 796 of the family's 1533-position model. The record is from RNAcentral.